Molecule: long non-coding RNA, 582 nt
Filed under: Homo sapiens (human)
Lineage: Eukaryota; Metazoa; Chordata; Mammalia; Primates; Hominidae
Description: HSALNT0246205
Source: RNAcentral
CUCGGGCAGGCGCUGAGGCCAGGUGCUCUCCCGGGCCUGAAGACUGGAAGGCAAAACCCACAAUGUGAAGGGCCUGAGGCAGCGCUGUUGCCUGGUGACAUGAGUCCCAGGGCCAUGGUCUCCCCCUCGCUGGCACAGCCCAGCCUGCUGGGGAGGUGCUUGCAGGGCCGGCCUGUGGAUGGAGACGUCGCAGAGGGUGAGGCAGCUGAUUCACACCCGGCCUUCUCCCUGGGCCCGAUUUCCCUCUGGCCACUCAGCCGGCGCAGCUCCAGCCUUCGGGGGACAGGAGCCCCACCCCCACUUCUGUCUCCCACCACCUCGUGUGGCGCUAAUCAGGAGAGGACAGCGCCAUCUGCCAAUCCCCUGGGCUCUGACACCCUUUAAGGUGUAGCGCACACAGCCUCAGGAGCCGCCAUGACAACUGAAGAUGCUACACGAAGGCCAGGGGAUGCUGCCAUGUCCCCCAGGCAGGUGCCCACGCAGCCUGUGGCCCCACGCCAUGGUCCAGUGUGGGGGGAACACCUUGAUUUUUAAUAAAGAGACCAGAGACCCUGGCUGGGUCUCUCACCACUGCCACCUCCU